CAGGGAGACAAAACUGAUCUUGAUGUCUGAGUAAAAAUUCUUAGACCAAGAUCCUGUCACCUUAGGUCGAUCGGUACCUCAGAUUUUUGAAAGAAAGCAGAUUUUUCUUGAUUUCUUUGAUUGAUUUCAGUUCCUAAACUUGUCUAGGUCACACCCAACAAGGGUACUCCUGGGCCAUUAGCUCAGGUGGUUAGAGCGCACCCCUGAUAAGGGUGAGGUCCCUGGUUCAAGUCCAGGAUGGCCCAUUCGGUGUUGGGGGUAUAGCUCAGUUGGUAGAGCGCCUGCUUUGCAAGCAGGAUGUCAGCGGUUCGAGUCCGCUUACCUCCACUGAUCAACCUCCUGCUAUCGAACUAGAGGGAGAUUGGCUUUGUUGGCUGUGAUUUAGAGUUGAUAUUGAUGAACCUAGCUUCUUAUCAUCUUGGCUAAAUUUGAUUCUUUAAAUAAGGUUGGUUUGAUAUGACGCUGGGCUCUCUGUAAUUACUUAAUUACAGAAGUGUUCAGUAGAACCUUGAAAACUGCAUAGUAAAGUUUGGAAAAUAAAGCAUCUCAUGGAUGCAUUGUUUUUUAUAUAAAUUAGUAUGAUUUUAUCUGCUUUUUUAAAAGAACAAUGUUUAGAUUCUUGAGUUAGAGCAAAGACUUUGUAAAUUUUAUUUUUAACAAAAUUAAUUUAUAGAGUUUAU
RNAcentral lists this transfer RNA (680 nucleotides) under uncultured cyanobacterium. RNAcentral's name for it is "partial contains 16S ribosomal RNA, 16S-23S ribosomal RNA intergenic spacer, and 23S ribosomal RNA". The stretch from base 255 to 327 matches the Rfam family "tRNA". The record is from RNAcentral. Lineage: Bacteria; Bacillati; Cyanobacteriota.